RNAcentral lists this ribosomal RNA (253 nucleotides) under uncultured bacterium. RNAcentral describes it as "partial 16S ribosomal RNA". It matches the Rfam family "Bacterial small subunit ribosomal RNA", at positions 524 to 776 of the family's 1533-position model. The record is from RNAcentral.
UACGUAGGUGGCGAGCGUUGUCCGGAUUUAUUGGGUUUAAAGGGUGCGUAGGCGGUCCUAUAAGUCAGUGGUGAAAUAUCGCGGCUCAACUGUGAGGGUGCCAUUGAUACUGUAGGACUUGAGUGAAUUUGAGGUAGGCGGAAUUGACGGUGUAGCGGUGAAAUGCUUAGAUAUCGUCAAGAACACCGAUAGUGAAGACAGCUUACCAAGCUUCAACUGACGCUGAGGCACGAAAGUGUGGGGAUCAAACAGG